This 484-nucleotide ribosomal RNA is filed under the name uncultured bacterium. RNAcentral's name for it is "partial 16S ribosomal RNA". It matches the Rfam family "Bacterial small subunit ribosomal RNA", at positions 30 to 507 of the family's 1533-position model. The record is from RNAcentral.
AUUGAACGCUGGCGGCAGGCCUAACACAUGCAAGUCGAGCGGAUGAAGGGAGCUUGCUCCUGGAUUCAGCGGCGGACGGGUGAGUAAUGCCUAGGAAUCUGCCUGGGAGUGGGGGAUAACGUCCGGAAACGGGCGCUAAUACCGCAUACGUCCUGAGGGAGAAAGUGGGGGAUCUUCGGACCUCACGCUAUCAGAUGAGCCUAGGUCGGAUUAGCUAGUUGGUGGGGUAAAGGCCUACCAAGGCGACGAUCCGUAACUGGUCUGAGAGGAAGAUCAGUCACACUGGAACUGAGACACGGUCCAAACUCCUACGGGAGGCAGCGGUGGGGAAUAUUGGACAAUGAGCGGAAGCCUGAUCCAGCCAUGCCGCGUGUGUGAAGAAGGUCUUCGGAUUGUAAAGCACUUUAAGUUGGGAGGAAGGGCAGUAAGUUAAUACCUUGCUGUUUUGACGUUACCAACAGAAUAAGCACCGGCUAACUUCGUG